This 1247-nucleotide long non-coding RNA is filed under the name Anolis carolinensis (green anole). RNAcentral's name for it is "lncRNA (ENSACAG00000041328.1)". Lineage: Eukaryota; Metazoa; Chordata; Lepidosauria; Squamata; Anolidae. The record is from RNAcentral.
UACAGUAGAGUCUCACUCAGGGGUCCUCAAACUUCUUAAGCCGAGGGCCGGUCCACAAUCCUUCAGACUGUUGAGGGGCCGGAUUAUCAUUUGGGGGGGGGGGGGGAAUGAACAAAUUCCUAUGCACACUGCACAUGUCUUAUUUGUAGUGCAAAACAACAAUAACAAUGAAAGAACAAAACAAUAUUUAAAAAUGAAAAUAAUUUUAACCAACAUAAACCUAUCAGGAUUUCAAUAGGAAGUGUGGGCCUGCCUCUGGCCAAUGAGAGAGUCAGGUUAAUUAGGAUUGUUGUUGUUGUUGUGUGUCUUCAAGUCAUUUCAGACUUUGGGCGAGCCUAAGUCCAAAAUUAUUUAUUUAUUCAUUUACUACAUUUAUAUUCCCUUCUCACCCCGAAGGGAACUCAGAGCAGCUGUAUGUACAUACAAUAUAUUAUAUUAUUAGCAUAGCACAAUAUUAGCAUUAUACUAUAUUGAACUAUACCACUAUACUGUAAUAUUAUAUGCAAUAUAUAACAUAAUAUUAUUAUAUGGUAUUAUUGUUAGUAUUAUAUUGUAGAAAAUGAUAAUAUUCUUAUCAAUAUUGUAUGUAUAUACAAUAUAUUAUAUUAUUAAAACUGAUAUAAAAACAUUAUAAAUGAGGGCGGGGGCCAGGUAAAUUACCUUGGAGGGCCACAUCCGGCCCCCGGGCCUUAGUUUGGGGACCCCUGGUCUCACUUAUCCAAGCUAAACGGUCCGGCAGAAGCUUGGAUAAGCGAAUAUCUUGGAUAAUAAGGAGGGAUUAAGGAACAUCCUGCCACACCCUGGACUCUACACAGAUAUAUAUUCUUUCCUUUCCUUACUUAGUUUAUCCAUACCUCACAACCUCUGAGGAUGCCUGCCAUAGAUGUGGGUGAAACGUCAGGAGAGAAUACUUCUGGAACAUGGCCACACAGCCCGAAAGAUAUACAACAACCCUGUGAUCCCGGCCAUGAAAGCCUUCGACAACAGAUUAAGGAAAAGCCUAUUAAACAUCAAAUCAUAACCUAAUUUGAUGUUUAAUAGGCUUUUCCUUAAUCCCUCCUUAUUAUCCAACAUAUUCGCUUAUCCAACGUUCUGUCGGCCCAUUUACGUUGGAUAAGUGAGACUCUACUGUACGUGGAGGAAUACAUAACAUUCCUUAAAAUGAAAAAAGCAACUAUCAAUCAAGCGCCUCUAUUUGCAUGUCACAAGUUAGGCUCCCAACCAAUUUGCAGGGCCACUGUGUGGGU